This 160-nucleotide unclassified non-coding RNA is filed under the name uncultured Ascomycota. RNAcentral describes it as "sequence contains ITS1". Lineage: Eukaryota; Fungi; Ascomycota. The record is from RNAcentral.
AAUAAGUUAGGUGCCCUCACGGGCCAACCCUAACCCGUGUUUACAUACCUUUGUUGCUUUGGCAGGCCGCGAUCUCCGCUGCGGGCUUCGGCUUGCACGUGCCUGCCAGAGGACCCCCAACUCUUGAUUUUAGUGAUGUCUGAGUACUAUAUAAUAGUUA